CCCUUAGAUGUUCUGGGCCGCACGCGCGCUACACUGACGGAUUCAACGAGCUUACAACCUUGGCCGAAAGGUCUGGGUAAUCUCCAAAAUCCGUCGUGAUGGGGAUAGAUUAUUGCAAUUAUUAAUCUUCAACGAGGAAUGCCUAGUAAGCGCAAGUCAUCAGCUUGCGUUGAUUACGUCCCUGCCCUUUGUACACACCGCCCGUCGCUCCUACCGAUUGAAUGGUCCGGUGAAGCGUUUGGACUAUGGUUUUCUGAUGAUCCGCCGUUGGAUUACCGUGGGAAGUUCGUUAAACCUUAUCAUUUAGAGGAAGGAGAAGUCGUAACA
This 327-nucleotide ribosomal RNA is filed under the name uncultured eukaryote. Its description in RNAcentral is "partial 18S ribosomal RNA". It matches the Rfam family "Eukaryotic small subunit ribosomal RNA", at positions 1470 to 1796 of the family's 1831-position model. The record is from RNAcentral.